This is a long non-coding RNA of Musa acuminata AAA Group (dessert banana), 424 nucleotides long. RefSeq lists it as uncharacterized. NCBI's taxonomy places the organism in Eukaryota, Viridiplantae, Streptophyta, Magnoliopsida, Zingiberales, Musaceae. The record is from RefSeq and is a predicted model, not a curated record. The transcript is spliced from 3 exons.
CUCCUCGUCCUCCCUUAUAAGGUUCUCCAGAAUGAAGCUUUCUUCUUCCACCAUUAUCUUUCUUGUCCUCGGGCUUCUCUUCGCUUCCAUGGCCACCACGAGCUCCCGGGAGACGCCUGCCCAUGGCGUGCUAGAGAAAGGUAGAGAUAGGGCUAUGGUGCAACCCGAAGGCGUCAUCUACGGCCUUGCAAGGGUGUCUCCUUUGACACCGCCGGCGCCAGAGGCCAACCAUCCCCCUGACCCUCCCUUCAACAAUCCCUGAAGCCGUGCUGCUGCCCAUCGAUCAUGUACUGCACCAAUAUAUUUCAUGCUUUGUUGAAGACUACACCGUCGUGUCGAUGUUGCUUCUCUCUUUCUCCAAAAGGGUGUAUCGAUUGUAGUGUUUCAUGUUCGGUGAUCCUAAUAAAUGUUUCUUGAUGUGUUA